Paramormyrops kingsleyae is the source of this 912-nucleotide long non-coding RNA. RefSeq lists it as uncharacterized. The record is from RefSeq and is a predicted model, not a curated record. Lineage: Eukaryota; Metazoa; Chordata; Actinopteri; Osteoglossiformes; Mormyridae.
GAGAGCAAUCUAUUUUGCUGGUGUUGGGGGUUAAUGACUAUUGCCAAAGAUAAGUGAAUUAUCAAAGCUGUUGCUCUUGCCUCGUCUCAAAAUCCGUUACAUUGCCUGGUCGUCUAAUUAAAUACACUUGAUUUAACCUUUAAGAAAGCCAGACGACUCCCCAGCAAGAGUCUCCAGCAAGAACGAUCCGAAGAGAUGGAAAAAAACGUGGUUUCAGAUGCAGCAAGAAUGCUAAGGAGGCUGGUGAUACGACAAGUGAUUCAACUAGCAGCAGGCCCAGUGUUACACUAACAAAAUGCCAGCGCUUGAUUCUACGUGGUUGUCUCAUGCAUCAUAGAAUAAGACCAACAAGGCACAUUGAUAAUACAAUCUCAGAAAAAAGGGUACCAGUUUGUACCUUUGUUUGUCACUGGUCACUGGGUCAGGACCUCACAAUUCUGUACCUUUUAAGGUACAGAACAAGACUCCCAAUGUACACAAAAAUGUUCCUCAGAGUCCAUUUCUGUACCUUAAAAGGUACAAUUACCUACAGCUAAGGGUACAAUUGACAGACCCUUGAGGGUUCGGCACCAGUGACAAAUUGGUACCCUCUUUUCUGAGUGUACAUAAACUUUAAAAAGAGUGAGCAUCUGCAAGAUUCCAGUUUCCUUCAUUUUAAAACUGUUUUCAGAGUGUUUGUUGUCUAUCCAACACGGGUGACAAAGUUCCUGCAGUUAGUUUCUGGAGAGAUAUACUAAAAUGAUUACGCCUCUGUGUAAAUUAUACUUCAUCAAACCGCAGCCUGCUUUGUAUAUGAAUUGCAUUAGAAGAUAAGUUACAGCCUGAGUGUUUCCGCUGAAUUAGAUGGUGGCAAAGCAUAAUGGGAUUAUUUUACUGAACAUUUUCUGUGAAUAAAGGAACUCCUGAAACACA